RNAcentral lists this small nuclear RNA (185 nucleotides) under Mesocricetus auratus (golden hamster). RNAcentral's name for it is "7SK RNA". It matches the Rfam family "7SK RNA", at positions 1 to 182 of the family's 331-position model. From Rfam's summary of the family: 7SK was discovered as an abundant small nuclear RNA in the mid-70s but a possible function has only recently been suggested. Two independent studies have found that 7SK RNA binds the CDK9/cyclin T complex (known as elongation factor P-TEFb). Lineage: Eukaryota; Metazoa; Chordata; Mammalia; Rodentia; Cricetidae. The record is from Rfam by way of RNAcentral.
GGAUGUGAGGGCAAACUGGCUGUGACAUCUGUCACCCCAUUGAUCUCCAGGGUUGGUUCGGCUGAUCUGGCUAGCUAGGAGGGUAUCCACUCCCUCCUUCACCUCUCCAUGUGUGUCCCUCCCGAAGCUGGGAUUGAGCUGGGGAAUGGAGCCCACAGUAGAUUUUUUUGGAGACAUGCACACAA